Molecule: microRNA precursor, 76 nt
Filed under: Myotis lucifugus (little brown bat)
Lineage: Eukaryota; Metazoa; Chordata; Mammalia; Chiroptera; Vespertilionidae
Description: mir-9229 microRNA precursor family
Rfam family: mir-9229 microRNA precursor family
Source: Rfam by way of RNAcentral
GAGACACCCCUCCAGGGCAAGACUUGCUUCAAUGGGACUUUGGUGCUCACUGAGUCUGCCCCCUGAGUGUGUCCUU